GGGGAUGUUCAUAUUUGACGUCCUAGAAGUUGAUGAACGUGCAAAUUGGGGCAAUGCCUUUUACGUCCCACAUAAAAACCUUAAAGGCAACACAAACGGCAACUUAGCCAAUGCGAUUAAGACACGAGUAGCCGCGCUUAUAAACGCAGUGAAACUGCCUGCACUCGCACCUGCUUUUGCGUAAUUAUACGCGGGAGCCAUCCAGCGAGGUCAUGCUCCAUAGCCUCGCUCGGGUGCCAAACUCAUGGAGCGUAGGGCUUUCUCGCGUUAACCGUCACUGCCCGAAACCUCUUUUGUUAACUCGGCAAGAAAUAUUGCGCUCUGGCUUAUGAUUUCUCGCCUAAACAAAAAGCCGCAGACAAGUUUGUAGACCGUUUAUCAAAACCUAGGGCAGACAGGGGUGCAAUACCCCUCAUCUCCACCA
This 424-nucleotide transfer-messenger RNA is filed under the name Patescibacteria group. RNAcentral's name for it is "f UBA9629 X1 Standard tmRNA". It matches the Rfam family "transfer-messenger RNA". Rfam says of the family: Bacterial tmRNA, also known as 10Sa RNA or SsrA, is named for its dual tRNA and mRNA-like properties. The record is from RNAcentral.